Molecule: unclassified non-coding RNA, 512 nt
Filed under: Hevea brasiliensis (rubber tree)
Lineage: Eukaryota; Viridiplantae; Streptophyta; Magnoliopsida; Malpighiales; Euphorbiaceae
Source: RNAcentral
GUUGUUGAUAAGGUGACUAUGGGUUGCUUUCUAGAAGACCAUGCUACAGCUCCUCCAUUCAUCAUAAACACAUAACCUGAUGUGCUUUUGCUGUCCUCCAUAUCGCCAGCAUAAUCACUGUCUGUAUACCUAAUCAAUUCACCAUCUCCAAUUUUCUUAUAGAAAAUUCCAUAACCAGUUGUGCCUUUCAAAUAUCGCAAGACCUUUUUCAAAGCUGCAAAAUGCAAUUGUGUUGGACAUGCCAUGAAACGGCUAAUCAAGCUUACUGCAAACAUUAAAUCAGGUCGUGUGGCAGUCAGAUACAUUAGACUACCCACAAUUUGCUUGUACACUGUUGCAUCCACUGCAAUGCCUUCUUUAUCUUUGCCAAUCUUCUGUCCAGGAACAAUUGGAUUACACACAGGAUUGAAAUUUUCUACCUCAAAACGCUUUAAAACCUCAGCAGCAUACUUCCUCUGAAAAAUAAAAAUGCCAUCUGAUCUUUGUAGAACUUCAAUUCCAAGGAAAUAUCU